Molecule: ribosomal RNA, 501 nt
Filed under: uncultured bacterium
Lineage: Bacteria
Description: bacterial SSU rRNA
Rfam family: Bacterial small subunit ribosomal RNA
Source: RNAcentral
AGAGUUUGAUCAUGGCUCAGAUUGAACGCUGGCGGCAUGCCUUACACAUGCAAGUCGAACGGUAACGGGCCUUCGGGUGCCGACGAGUGGCGAACGGGUGAGUAAUGCAUCGGAACGUACCUUUCAGUGGGGAUAACGUAGCGAAAGUUACGCUAAUACCGCAUAUUCUGUGAGCAGGAAAGCAGGGGAUCGCAAGACCUUGCGCUGAUUGAGCGGCCGAUGUCAGAUUAGCUAGUUGGUGAGGUAAAGGCUCACCAAGGCGACGAUCUGUAGCGGGUCUGAGAGGAUGAUCCGCCACACUGGAACUGAGACACGGUCCAGACUCCUACGGGAGGCAGCAGUGGGGAAUUUUGGACAAUGGGGGCAACCCUGAUCCAGCCAUGCCGCGUGAGUGAAGAAGGCCUUCGGGUUGUAAAGCUCUUUCGGCCGGGAAGAAAUCGUAUGGGCUAAUACCCUGUGCGGAUGACGGUACCGGCAUAAGAAGCACCGGCUAACUACGUG